UGGAUUAACUCAAUUGGCGUGCUUAACACAUGCAGUCGAACGCUGAAGUUCCCAGCUUGCUGGGGAUGGAUGAGUGGCGAACGGGUGAGUAUCACGUGAGUAACCUGCCCUUAACUCUGGGAUAAGCCCGGGAAACUGGGUCUAAUACUGGAUAUGACUGGUCAUCGCAUGGUGGUUGGUUGAAAGUUUUUGACGGUUUUGGAUGGACUCGCGGCCUAUCAGUUUGUUGGUGGGGUAAUGGCUUACCAAGGCUUUGACGGGUAGCCGGCCUGAGAGGGUGACCGGCCACACUGGGACUGAGACACGGCCCAGACUCCUACGGGAGGCAGCAGUGGGGGAUAUUGCACAAUGGGCGCAAGCCUGAUGCAGCGACGCCGCGUGAGGGAUGACGGCCUUCGGGUUGUAAACCUCUUUCAGUUGGGAAGAAGCCUUUUGGGGUGACGGUACCUUCAGAAGAAGCACCGGCUAACUACGUGCCAGCAGCCGCGGUAAUACGUAGGGUGCGAGCGUUAUCCGGAAUUAUUGGGCGUAAAGAGCUCGUAGGCGGUUUGUCACGUCUGCUGUGAAAGCUUAGGGCUUAACCCUGAGUUUGCAGUGGGUACGGGCAGGCUGGAGUGCAGUAGGGGAGACUGGAAUUCCUGGUGUAGCGGUGAAAUGCGCAGAUAUCAGGAGGAACACCGAUGGCGAAGGCAGGUCUCUGGGCUGUUACUGACGCUGAGGAGCGAAAGCAUGGGGAGCGAACAGGAUUAGAUACCCUGGUAGUCCAUGCCGUAAACGUUGGGCACUAGGUGUGGGGAACAUUUCCACGUUUUCCGCGCCGUAGCUAACGCAUUAAGUGCCCCGCCUGGGGAGUACGGCCGCAAGGCUAAAACUCAAAGGAAUUGACGGGGGCCCGCACAAGCGGCGGAGCAUGCGGAUUAAUUCGAUGCAACGCGAAGAACCUUACCAAGGCUUGACAUGCACUAGAUCGCCACAGAGAUGUGGUUUCCCUUCGGGGCUGGUGUACAGGUGGUGCAUGGUUGUCGUCAGCUCGUGUCGUGAGAUGUUGGGUUAAGUCCCGCAACGAGCGGAACCCCUAUUCUAUGUUGCCAGCAAUUCGGUUGGGGACUCAUGGGAGACUGCCGGGGUCAACUCGGAGGAAGGUGGGGACGACGUCAAAUCAUCAUGCCCCUUAUGUCUUGGGCUUCACGCAUGCUACAAUGGCCGGCACAAUGGGUUGCGAGACUGUGAGGUUGAGCUAAUCCCAUAAAACCGGUCUCAGUUCGGAUUGGGGUCUGCAACUCGACCCCAUGAAGUCGGAGUCGCUAGUAAUCGCAGAUCAGCAACGCUGCGGUGAAUACGUUCCCGGGCCUUGUACACACCGCCCGUCAAGUCACGAAAGUUGGUAACACCCGAAGCCGGUGGCCUAACCCUUUUUGGGGAGGAGCCGUCGAAGGUGGGACCGGUGAUUGGGACUAAGUCGUAACAAGGUAGCCGUACCGGAAGUGCGCUGAUCACCCCUCUCUUUAA
Molecule: ribosomal RNA, 1509 nt
Filed under: Yaniella soli
Lineage: Bacteria; Bacillati; Actinomycetota; Actinomycetes; Micrococcales; Micrococcaceae
Description: 16S ribosomal RNA
Rfam family: Bacterial small subunit ribosomal RNA
Source: RNAcentral